GGGUGUAGUCAGUCUUGGUCUGUGAAAAUUGAGGUUCAGCUGAACUACAGUGGCCUGUAGUUGUCAGAAGAGAGCAAAGGCAUGUGCCUGAACAGAUGCUGUUUGCUGUUGGAGCAGCAGUGCAACCAAGAAGCCUGGUAUUUUGUAACCUGAUGAAACCAUCAUUCCAAGCCUCCCAGGGCUAUUUGGAAGGCAGCUGGAAUAAACUAUGACCCAAUGCCUCUCUCUCUAUCUGCGUAAACACUGGAGAUCUUGAAGGCUUGGCUGUCCCCUCACUACUUGCUUGUAGUCACCGAGAUCCAAUGUUGUCUUGAACUACAUUCACAGCGAAGAAGAACUUUGAGUAUAAUCUCUGAUGAGGAGCGUGUCAUACUUUGGGGAGGACGGGAUACAGAGAGCUGAUUCGGAAACCGGAGAACUGGGAGAUGCACUUCCAGAAUCGAUGGAGUCUCUAAAAGGAGAAGGAGGAGUUAAAGCUACCAACUCCUCGAGGUCUUGCUUGGCUGAUGGGGUGUCUGAAGUGCCUUCUUUGACGCUGCCAUUUGAAGGUUUCCUAGCUGACUGCGAAGCGCCAUUGACUUCAAUGGCAGGAAGCGGCUGGAUCUCUGCAAACGUGGUCAUUGUUGUAGGGAGCUGGAUUUCCCGUGGGAUCAGGUAUGAAGAGCAGAGAGGAGUGGCCACCAUUGUCCCUGGAGUGGCUGUUGAAAGCAUCAUAGAGUUCAGCUCGCUGAUGUUGGCUGUAAAGCGAGUAACCACACUACUGAUCUGCUCCAUGAGGGAGCCUUGAGAGGAGCUACUUCGCUGAGGAGGCUCUGACUGGAAGGUCUGCCACUACCCUUUGAUGAUGGGAAACAUCAGGAUGAAGAGUGGACAAUGACGCCUCUUGGACUGUGAGUUCUGCUUCCUGCUGCACAAAGCUUGAAGAUGCUUUCGACAUUGCUUAGUGAACAAGGUUUUUUUUUCAUUUUUUUCAUUGAUAAUUUGUGAAAGGUAUGAAACGGAAGCUGGGAAAAUACAAAUCAUCAGCUUACCCAACCCUGAAAUGAGAAGCACAAGCAGUGCACCAGAAAAGAAAAAAAAACCCCAAAACAAAACAAAAGAAAGAUGUAACUCCCCAGUUGUAUCUUGAGAGUCAAGGGCUGGUUUGAAUUCUAUUCCCUGCAAAAAGCAUACAAUUGGAGGAAUUUCAGGUGUUUGGCAUAUCUGAUAAAUAAUUACAGUGGUAUUUAUGCGCAUGGGACUUACCAUCAGAAAAAUUACUCUUGUGAAUUAUUAAGCAGUUUCUAAUUUGUUGCAUUUAAUAAAAUCAGAAAUGCAAAUAUGAUGCAAGAAAUGCAAAAAAACCAGAUGUUGUGAUGCCUGCUUUGUGAAAGCCCAUAAAAUAUUCUAUUCCAUAAUUGAUUUUGUCAGAUAUAUGUGCAUGAUGCUCACAGGUGAUGCAGGAUGUAGUAUCUUCUCUUAAUCAGAAAUAACCUUACAAAGCAUCAGACAGAGUACCUAUUACACCUAUUUUUAUGUCACUUUUCAACUUGAAAAAUCUCAAGCCAUUUGUACGACUAAUAUACAAUGAUAGUUAGGCCCUGAUGUGAAAAAUAUCUACACCAGGGUUGGAAUGCAAGAAUAAUAUUGCAUGAGGGAUUUGAGAACAUGAGCUGAACAAUACUGCCCAGCGUGAAAUUGCACAGCAUUUUUUUGACUGAACAGAUGUAAGUGGGAUUUGGUCAGUGUCACGGGACCUCUUCGCCCCGUGAGAUGAUGAGAUAUUUUCAUUACUCACGAACGGUCAGACCCCUGCUUCUGUCUUUUUCCAUCUGCAUUUCAUCCCAGUGACUUCUAGCACUGGCCUGAUACUUACUGAGACAGGAGAAUAGCACCUACUUUCCUUCCUGCAACAUCUAUAUUCUCUCUGGGAGGUUCCCAGGCUAUUCAGUGGCAACUCUACUUAGGCCGUGAAACUUGACAAGGACCACUGGCCAGGACACUGUGGCUGGAGACAACAAAACACAGCCAUCAAAUGCAAUUGCACUCUCUGUUAAGCAGCAGGCGUUCUUAACUGUUUGAGUAGGUCUUGCAGCUGACAGUCUUGCUGUGGAACUAUUAGACUGACACAGUUUCCAGUCUUUUUGACUGUUAGGGCAUCCUCUUUAACAGGAACCUUUUUCUCCUCUCUACUUGACUCAGAUCGAUUACAGUCUGGAAUGCAAACAGAUUCUUCACUGUGAAGAUAUAAAAUAUAAAAGAGAAGUUUUUCAAGUGUAUAUAUAUGGCCAGGCAAAACAGAGCUGAAUACCGUACAACAAAAUACAGUUGUUUGACAUUUACAUGUAUUUUACUUCUCUUCAAAAUUCCCUUAUAUAGUGACUCCAGAAUGCUUUUAAAUGAAGAAUAAAUAUCACUGAAGGCAAUGCAAUGUAGGAAAAAAAAAAUUCAGACAACACGCAGACAAGAAACAGAAUCCCAGCUGACAAAAAAUAACAGGCAUGUAUACAUUUUGUACAACACUCAGCGGUGAAUGUUCGUGAUGUUACUUAAACAGCAGGGGUCCCCCAGGUGUGUGCUAUGUGGCGUUAUAGUUGAUAGCCUUAUAUACACGAGUGAAUGUUCUUGUACCCAAGGGGAACAUAACACUGCGCAAGUGUUUCACUGAACACCCUCCUGCAAUGAUAAAAUUCACCUGUGAUGUAACACUUGGGAAAAGUAAAGGCAUAAUCUGGUGAUGCUGUUCUCUAAAACUGCAUUUAUAAAUGCCUUACAGGGUUUGAUAAGGAAUAAGUAGAUCUUUUAAUACAUAGUAAACAAAAUGCUUCUAUCUUGUAGUAGAAUGUAACACGAUACAAUGCUUAUUAAGAGUAUUGUUUUAUGAAAGAUUUAUAAACACCUGUGACACA
Phalacrocorax carbo (great cormorant) is the source of this 2888-nucleotide non-coding RNA. The record is from RefSeq and is a predicted model, not a curated record. Lineage: Eukaryota; Metazoa; Chordata; Aves; Suliformes; Phalacrocoracidae.